GACGAACGCUGGCGGCGUGCUUAACACAUGCAAGUCGAACGAAGAGCGAUGGAAGCUUGCUUCUAUCAAUCUUAGUGGCGAACGGGUGAGUAACGCGUAAUCAACCUGCCCUUCAGAGGGGGACAACAGUUGGAAACGACUGCUAAUACCGCAUACGAUCUAACCUCGGCAUCGAGGAUAGAUGAAAGGUGGCCUCUAUUUAUAAGCUAUUACUGAAGGAGGGGAUUGCGUCUGAUUAGCCAGUUGGAGGGGUAACGGCCCACCAAGGCGAUGAUCAGUAGCCGGUCUGAGAGGAUGAACGGCCACAUUGGGACUGAGACACGGCCCAGACUCCUACGGGAGGCAGCAGUGGGGAAUCUUCCGCAAUGGACGAAAGUCUGACGGAGCAACGCCGCGUGAGUGAUGACGGCCUUCGGGUUGUAAAGCUCUGUUAAUCGGGACGAAAGGCCUUUCUUGCGAAUAGUUAGAAAGGAAUGACGGCACCCGAAUAAAAAAC
RNAcentral lists this ribosomal RNA (496 nucleotides) under Veillonella dispar. RNAcentral describes it as "bacterial SSU rRNA". It matches the Rfam family "Bacterial small subunit ribosomal RNA", at positions 28 to 490 of the family's 1533-position model. The record is from RNAcentral. Lineage: Bacteria; Bacillati; Bacillota; Negativicutes; Veillonellales; Veillonellaceae.